RNAcentral lists this ribosomal RNA (301 nucleotides) under uncultured bacterium. RNAcentral describes it as "partial 16S ribosomal RNA". It matches the Rfam family "Bacterial small subunit ribosomal RNA", at positions 509 to 807 of the family's 1533-position model. The record is from RNAcentral.
CAGCCGCCACGGGAAUACGAAGGGUGCAAGCGUUAAUCGGAAUUACUGGGCGUAAGGCGUGCGUAGGCGGUUUGUUAAGUCUGUUGUGAAAUCCCCGGGCUCAACCUGGGAAUGGCAAUGGAUACUGGCAAGCUAGAGUGUGUCAGAGGAUGGUGGAAUUCCCGGUGUAGCGGUGAAAUGCGUAGAGAUCGGGAGGAACAUCAGUGGCGAAGGCGGCCAUCUGGGACAACACUGACGCUGAGGCACGAAAGCGUGGGGAGCAAACAGGAUUAGAUACCCGCGUAGUCCCUGUCUCUUAUAC